RNAcentral lists this ribosomal RNA (746 nucleotides) under uncultured Parvimonas sp. RNAcentral describes it as "bacterial SSU rRNA". It matches the Rfam family "Bacterial small subunit ribosomal RNA", at positions 28 to 776 of the family's 1533-position model. The record is from RNAcentral. Lineage: Bacteria; Bacillati; Bacillota; Tissierellia; Tissierellales; Peptoniphilaceae.
GACGAACGCUGGCGGCGUGCUUAACACAUGCAAGUCGAACGUGAUUUUUAUGGAAAGCCCUUCGGGGACGGAAGUAAAAUGAAAGUGGCGAACGGGUGAGUAACACGUGAGCAACCUACCUUACACAGGGGGAUAGCCGUUGGAAACGACGAUUAAUACCGCAUGAGACCACAAAGCCNCAUGGCUUAGGGGUAAAAGAUUUAUCGGUGUAAGAUGGGCUCGCGUCUGAUUAGCUAGUUGGAAGGGUAAAGGCCUACCAAGGCGACGACCAGUAGCCGGUCUGAGAGGAUGAACGGCCACAUUGGAACUGAGACACGGUCCAAACUCCUACGGGAGGCAGCAGUGGGGAAUAUUGCACAAUGGGGGGAACCCUGAUGCAGCGACGCCGCGUGAGCGAAGAAGGUUUUCGAAUCGUAAAGCUCUGUCCUAUGAGAAGAUAAUGACGGUAUCAUAGGAGGAAGCCCCGGCUAAAUACGUGCCAGCAGCCGCGGUAAUACGUAUGGGACGAGCGUUGUCCGGAAUUAUUGGGCGUAAAGGGUACGUAGGCGGCCUUUUAAGUCAGGUGUGAAAGCGUGAGGCUUAACCUCAUUAAGCACUUGAAACUGGAAGGCUUGAGUGAAGGAGAGGAAAGUGGAAUUCCUAGUGUAGCGGUGAAAUGCGUAGAUAUUAGGAGGAAUACCGGUGGCGAAGGCGACUUUCUGGACUUUUACUGACGCUCAGGUACGAAAGCGUGGGGAGCAAACAGG